RNAcentral lists this long non-coding RNA (1344 nucleotides) under Brassica napus (rape). RNAcentral describes it as "long non-coding RNA (BNAP_LNC024957)". The record is from RNAcentral. Lineage: Eukaryota; Viridiplantae; Streptophyta; Magnoliopsida; Brassicales; Brassicaceae.
UAGAUUUUUGUUCGAGGAGUUUCACUGAAUUGAAGCACAACUAAUGAAGACACCAGUUUUGGGUUCUACUGAGGCUGAGGCUUACUGUGAUGUGUCAGAUACUGGAUUGGAUUUAAAUUAAGGUAUGAGGAUUAAGUCAUUCAUAUGCAUCACGCCAGAGAGGCUGUAGUGGUAUUUGCGUUAUAGUUUUGGAGAUCGUAAUUGUACGGGAAGGAAGUUCAGACUCUCUGGGAUUAUUAGAAUGUGAAAUUUAUCUUCAUUUAUUAAAAACUUGUACUUGGACAGUGCAGUUGGAUUGAGUUUGUAGCAGGCUAUAGUCUGGAUAUCGCAUACUAUCUGGUAAGGACAACCAGGUGAUAAAUGCCUUGGGUAGGCGUAUGAGCUGUAUCUCAGGAACCAAGAAGGUUCAUGAGUUGGAGAUUUGCUAGUCUCAGGUUGGGUGCCAUUACUAUCAAUGGAGAGACAGAUGUCCUUGGGACUUUGGAGCAGGCAGUUUUGCUAUGGAGGAUACACAAGCACAAGUUAGCAUUCUGGAUUGGUUGAACAGAUCGAGAUUGGGAGUAUUGGAUAUCAUACAGCUUUGAGCAGGAUAUACUUGUACUGAAACCGAGUUUGUGUGUUGGACGAUAAGUUGUUAAGAAAAGGAAUCUUACAACAAACAUAUCACUCGUGUUUCUCUACCCAUCGGGAAGACCAAAGGGUACAAAGAUAUGAAGAGUUAACUAUAAUUGGUGUAGUAUGAAGAUGUUUGUAACUACAUUACGUCGCGGUGCCAGACAUGUUAUAUGGCAAUAACAGAGGAUCAGUCAUCUAUCAUGUUAUUUUUGAGCUUGCUUUUGCCGGAGUAGAAAUGAGGCAUGGUGAUUAUGGACAUUGUUAUUGGAUUUUAAAUCACCAUAUGUGGAAAGAAUGCCACAUGGGUAGUCAUGGAUAGACUUACCAAGUCAGCCCAUUUCCUAAGUAAUUAAGAAGAUAAUCAGGGCUAAUCAAUUGAAGCAGACCUACAUUAUUGAGUUCAGGAAGUUUCAUGGAUGUCAACAUUGUAUCGGAUUGGGAAUCGAAGUUCACAUCUACAUUUCAAAAAGCCUUUCGGAAGGCACUUGGUACAAAGAUCAUAUGGGUACAUCUUAUCACCCGUUGACAUAUUGUCAGUCAGAGAGGACUACUCAGAACUUAAAGGAUAUGUUCAGAGAUUGCGUGGGAUGGAAUUUCGGAAAGCAUCUACCUAUACCAGAGUUUGCCUACAUCGACAGCUAUCUUUUGAGUAUUAAAAAAAUUAUUAUAUGAGGGUUAUUUAUGGUAGACCUUAUAGUAUACCACUUUGUUGGACCAAAGUGGGGGAGC